CUUGGUCAUUUAGAGGAAGUAAAAGUCGUAACAAGGUUUCCGUAGGUGAACCCGCGGAAGGAUCAUUACAGAAAGUAAACGCGGGUCAAACCGCGAACUUCUAAACCUUUGACGAUUGACUCAUGUUGCCUCGGCGGGUUCGCCCGCCAGAGGAUACAUCAAAACUCCUGUUUUAACGGUGUUGUCUGAGCUACAAGCAACGAAUCAAAACUUUCAACAACGGAUCUCUUGGUUCUGGCAUCGAUGAAGAACGCAGCGAAAUGCGAUAAGUAGUGUGAAUUGCAGAAUUCAGUGAAUCAUCGAAUCUUUGAACGCACAUUGCGCCCCUUGGUAUCCCGAGGGGCAUGCCUGUUCGAGCGUCAUUUCACCACUCAAGCCUGGCUUGGUGUUGGGCGACGUCCCUUUGGGACACGCCUCGAAACGCUCGGCGGCGUGGCACCGGCUUUAAGCGUAGCAGAAUCUUUCGCUUUAAAAGUCGGGGCCCCGUCUGCCGGAAGACCUACUCGCAAGGUUGACCUCGGAUCAGGUAGGGAUACCCGCUGAACUUAAGCAUAUCAAUAAGCGGAGGA
This 569-nucleotide ribosomal RNA is filed under the name uncultured Inocybe. Its description in RNAcentral is "eukaryotic LSU rRNA". The stretch from base 209 to 362 matches the Rfam family "5.8S ribosomal RNA". Lineage: Eukaryota; Fungi; Basidiomycota; Agaricomycetes; Agaricales; Cortinariaceae. The record is from RNAcentral.